Molecule: ribosomal RNA, 387 nt
Filed under: uncultured bacterium
Lineage: Bacteria
Description: bacterial SSU rRNA
Rfam family: Bacterial small subunit ribosomal RNA
Source: RNAcentral
GACGAACGCUGGCGGCGUGCUUAACACAUGCAAGUCGAACGGUGACGAGGAGCUUGCUCCUCCGAUCAGUAGCGAACGGGUGAGUAACACGUGAGUAACCUGCCCGGACUCUGGGAUAACAGUUGGAAACAGCUGCUAAUACCGGAUACGAGACGGAGAGGCAUCUCUACCGUCUGGAAAGUUCUUCGGUCCGGGAUGGACUCGCGGCCUAUCAGCUAGUUGGUGAGGUAACGGCUCACCAAGGCGACGACGGGUAGCCGGCCUGAGAGGGCGACCGGCCACACUGGGACUGAGACACGGCCCAGACUCCUACGGGAGGCAGCAGUGGGGAAUAUUGCACAAUGGGCGAAAGCCUGAUGCAGCGACGCCGCGUGAGGGAUGACGGCC